Molecule: long non-coding RNA, 1360 nt
Filed under: Penaeus monodon (black tiger shrimp)
Lineage: Eukaryota; Metazoa; Arthropoda; Malacostraca; Decapoda; Penaeidae
Description: uncharacterized LOC119586245, transcript variant X1
Source: RNAcentral
CUGACAACUGCUCCGGAGUUUCCACCGGACGGACAAACUCUGGUGCAGUAAUUAGAUAACGCCACAACGAAAUCCGACAGAGGUAGGGGAUGCAGGUGGAGGCUCCACAACAGCAGCCACCAGCCCCACUUGGCUUCCAGUCGGUGAUCCACCUGGCAUGGCUCCAUUUCCUGCUCCAACUGGUGUUAUGACCCCAGCUUCGGGAGAAGGCCACACCUACAAGGUACCAAACCCCCAUUGGACACCGAGAGACAGUGUGCCAGUGGGCUUCUGUUUUUCUUGAUUUUAUGGAUGGUGAUUGUAGCCUGAAUGAUGGUGAGCAAGAGCAGUGCACCAACAACACCCAAGAUGAUCCAGAGCUUGUGGUCUUCAAGGAAUCUGUUGGGAUAAAGUGCCAGGUGCUGUGAACACAGUUAUUUGAGUGAAAGAUGGGAAACACAUAUUUUUCCUGCUCUUUACACAAUUUACACCAGGCUCAAUUGUGUGUGGUAUGGAUAAUUGGCAUCUGGCAUCUGGCUCAUUAUGGUAAGAACAGAUACCAUCUGGCAUCAAUGGGUUAAGUAUAUUAAAAUUUCAGUAAUAUUAACAAUGAUUAAGAGUUUAUACACCUUUGUUACCAGUAAAAUUCAGAUACACUAACAUGAUACACAAGAAUAAAAGGAAACUCACUGGUUCUCCUUCCUGUGAGAAAGGAAGCUAACUAGUAGAGAAUUUGAAACCUAUAAAUCAGAGAACUUGCCCAGUGUCAAUAAAACUUUACAAAAUAUUGACACAUUGCCCAAUAAUAGAGAGAGGAUUCUUGUGCAUUAACCUACCAGCAGCACAAAUAUUUAAGAGUCAAAGACUGGUAGUAGAUUUAGAAGUAUAUUGUAUAAAGGAAUACUUAAAGAAAAUCUAGAAACAAAUUUCUAUCCAAAACACAAUAGCUUUCUACACUGCAUCUGGUACAAAGCUAAACAGGGCAGUUUCACUCACUUGAUGGCUCCAUUGUGGCCAGCUAACCCAGUCACAUUCUCCUCUCUAGUGGCCUCAGAGACCUCUGCCAGGAGAAAAGAUAUAUAUGAGAAAAAAAAGAAAAGAUAUUCAUGGAACUUUUAUAUUUGUUCAUAAAUGAGCAAGUGAAUUUGCUAGGUAGCAAUAAAAUUAAUAUCCUAAAACUCUAGGAAUGGUAACACGUAUUUCAUUUUCAUCCUACAGUAUGUAUGAAACUAAUUUGAAUCUCUCAAACAUCGAUAUCAAAUGUAUAGUGUAUCAUGUAAUCAUGUCUUCCUAUAUCAAUAAAUCCAUGAAUGCACAAAAAUCUCCAACAUCCCUCCUAUACUCAUCCAAAUCUGAAAUAAAUUGCUAAGUAAUCUCAAAA